Molecule: transfer RNA, 72 nt
Filed under: Hippoglossus stenolepis (Pacific halibut)
Lineage: Eukaryota; Metazoa; Chordata; Actinopteri; Pleuronectiformes; Pleuronectidae
Description: tRNA-Met
Rfam family: tRNA
About the family: Transfer RNA (tRNA) molecules are approximately 80 nucleotides in length.
Source: RNAcentral
AGCAGAGUGGCGCAGUAGACGCGUGUUGGGCCCAUAACCCAGAGAUCUAUGGAUCGAAACCAUCCUCUGUUA